UUUAAUUGAAGAGUUUGAUCAUGGCUCAGAUUGAACGCUGGCGGCAGGCCUAACACAUGCAAGUCGAGCGGCAGCACAGAGAAACUUGUUUCUCGGGUGGCGAGCGGCGGACGGGUGAGUAAUGCCUGGG
RNAcentral lists this ribosomal RNA (130 nucleotides) under Vibrio sp. 03_296. Its description in RNAcentral is "partial 16S ribosomal RNA". It matches the Rfam family "Bacterial small subunit ribosomal RNA", at positions 1 to 121 of the family's 1533-position model. The record is from RNAcentral. Lineage: Bacteria; Pseudomonadati; Pseudomonadota; Gammaproteobacteria; Vibrionales; Vibrionaceae.